This is a non-coding RNA of Pteronotus mesoamericanus, 342 nucleotides long. The record is from the annotation of a RefSeq genome assembly. NCBI's taxonomy places the organism in Eukaryota, Metazoa, Chordata, Mammalia, Chiroptera, Mormoopidae.
AUGGAGACUCUCCUGAAGGUGCUUGCAGGGGCUCUGUUGUGGCAAUUGGCUUAUGUGAGAAGCCAAGAAGUGCAGCAGAGUCCUCAGUCCUUGAUCGUCCAAGAGGGGGGAAAUGUUACCAUCAAGUGCAAAUCCUCAAAGACUUUAUAUUCCUUACACUGGUACUGGCAGAAGCAUGGUGAAGGUCCCGUCCUCUUGAUGCUGUUAAGAAGAAAAGGAGAAGAGAUUCAGGACGAAAUAGCUGCCACGUUGGAUAGAGAAAUGCAGCACAGCUCCUUCUACAUCACAGGCUCCCGGCCCCGUCACUCAGGCACCUACUUCUGUGGAGGAGAAGCACAGUGA